Molecule: long non-coding RNA, 1425 nt
Filed under: Carassius auratus (goldfish)
Lineage: Eukaryota; Metazoa; Chordata; Actinopteri; Cypriniformes; Cyprinidae
Description: lncRNA (ENSCARG00000049244.1)
Source: RNAcentral
GCGACUCCAUCCCCAGACGGUCCAGCUGAUUUGGAGGCGGUUCAGAGCCGCUCAGGUAGACCUGUUUGCUGCUCCAGAGACCUCUCACUGCCAGGCUUUCUACUCCCUGACCGAGGGAACUCUCGGCACGGACGCACUGGCACACAGCUGGCCGCGGGACCUACGCAAGUAUGCGUUUCCCCCAGUGAGCCUUCUCGCACAGACGUUGUGCAAAGUCCAGGAGGACGAGGAGCAAGUCUUACUAGUAGCGCCAUAUUGGCCUACUCGGACCUGGUUCCCCGAACUAGUGCUCCUCUCGACAGCCCCUCCUUGGCUGGUUCCUCUGAGGAGGGAUUUACUGACUCAGAGACGGGGCACCAUUUGGCACCCGCGUCCAGACCUUUGGAAACUCCAUGUUUGGUCCCUGGACGGGACGCGGAGGUUCUAGGUGACCUACCCCAAGAGGUAGUUAACACCAUCACUUCGGCAAGAGCACCGUCUACGAGACACGCCUAUGCCUUGAAGUGGAACCUGUUCGUUGAGUGGUGUUCUUCUCGCCGAGAAGACCCCCGAAGAUGCCCGAUUGCGGCCGUGCUAUCCUUUUUGCAGCAAGGGUUGGAGCGAAGGCUGUCUCCCUCCACCCUCAAAGUCCAGGUUGCCGCUAUUGCUGCGUACCAUGACCCUGUGAAUGGGAAGUCUUUGGGUAAGCAUGACCUCAUCAUCAGGUUCCUUAGAGGGGCCAGGAGGUUAAAUCCAUCCCGGCCCCCCUGUAUACCCUCUUGGGACCUGUCUCUAGUGCUUAAAUCACUACAGCAGGGCCCAUUCGAGCCUUUGCAUUCAGUUGAGCUAAAGUUUCUUUCAUUGAAAACUGUGCUCCUGCUUGCACUGGCCUCCAUCAAGAGGGUAGGGGACCUGCAUGCAUUUUCGGUCAACGAUUCGUGCCUAGAGUUCGGGCCGGCUGACUCCCAGGUAAUCCUGAGGCCCCGGCCUGGCUACGUGCCCAAGGUUCCCACUACACCCUUCAAAGACCAAGUGGUGAACCUGCAAGCGCUGCCCCUGGAGGAGGCAGACCCAGCCUUGGCUUUGCUUUGUCCUGUUCGAGCAUUAAGGUGCUACGUGGACCGGACGCAAAGCUUCAGGACCUCAGACCAGCUCUUUGUCUGUUACGGAGGCCGGCAGAAGGGGAAUGCCGUCUCUAAGCAGAGGAUGGCCCACUGGAUUGUGGAUGCCAUAACCCUGGCUUAUCAGGCUCAGGAUGUGCCCUGCCCGUUCAGGCUUCGAGCUCACUCAACUAGAAGUGUUGCAUCCUCCUGGGCGCUGGCUCGUGGCGCCUCGCUGACAGAUAUUUGUAGAGCUGCGGGCUGGGCGACCCCUAACACGUUCGCUAGGUUCUAUAGCCUUCGUGUAGAGCCGGUAUCCUCCUGUGUUCUCACCUCAAACGGGUAG